Molecule: transfer RNA, 65 nt
Filed under: Molanna truncata
Lineage: Eukaryota; Metazoa; Arthropoda; Insecta; Trichoptera; Molannidae
Description: tRNA-Tyr
Source: RNAcentral
AGUAAAAUGACUGAAAAUAAGUGAUAAAUUGUAAAUUUAUUUAUAAGAUUAAUUCUUUUUUACUA